AUACGUAGGGGGCAAGCGUUGUCCGGAUUUAUUGGGCGUAAAGAGCUCGUAGGCGGCUUGGUAAGUCGAUCGUGAAAACCAGAGGCUCAACCUCUGGACGUCGGUCGAUACUGCCAUGGCUAGAGUCCGGUAGAGGAGAGUGGAAUUCCCGGUGUAGCGGUGGAAUGCGCAGAUAUCGGGAGGAACACCAGUAGCGAAGGCGGCUCUCUGGGCCGGAACUGACGCUGAGGAGCGAAAGCGUGGGUAGCAAACAGGAUUAGAUACCCUGGUAGUCCACGCCGUAAACGUUGGGUACUAGGUGUGGCGUCUUAUCAACGGAUGCCGUGCCGAAGCUAACGCAUUAAGUACCCCGCCUGGGGAGUACGGCCGCAAGGCUAAA
Molecule: ribosomal RNA, 379 nt
Filed under: uncultured bacterium
Lineage: Bacteria
Description: bacterial SSU rRNA
Rfam family: Bacterial small subunit ribosomal RNA
Source: RNAcentral